RNAcentral lists this ribosomal RNA (513 nucleotides) under Triticum aestivum (bread wheat). RNAcentral's name for it is "partial small subunit ribosomal RNA". The record is from RNAcentral. Lineage: Eukaryota; Viridiplantae; Streptophyta; Magnoliopsida; Poales; Poaceae.
AUGUAUGAUUAUCAACUACUCAUCGCCGGAGUUUACUCCUCUGAGACUGACACAUGGGGCAAUUCCAUCUUGACAGAGGCUUCAGAUGACACUCUAUUUGGUCACAGUACUAGCACCCUUGUAGGUAAUUCCCUGUACUGGCCGGCUAAGCAUAAGGGAAAUGAUAUACUUGAGUUUGAUUUGCGCAAGCAGAACCUUACCGUGAUCAAGCGGCCUCAUGGUAUGAACAUGAAUGAUUUUGACAACUUUCAUAUCAUUGAGGAACAGGAUGGCGCUGUUGGUCUUGCCGCCUUGUCUCAUCUUAAGCUUCAAAUGUGGCAGAGGAAGGUCAAUUGUCUAGGUGUUGCCAUAUGGUUGUUGCGGAAAACCGUUUCAUUGAGUGAACUUCUUAAGAUCCCUGGGACCGUGAGAUGGAAUGAAUGGCUCAAAUUAGUGGGGUAUGAUGAGGAUACCGGUGCAAUCUUUUUAACUUGGCACGAUGUUGUCUGUAUGGUUCAGCUGAAGUCAAUGUAA